GGACCAAGGAGUCUAGCAUGUGCGCGAGUCAUUGGGAUUUUUACUAAACCUAAAGGCGCAAUGAAAGUGAAGGUCCGCCUUGCGCGGGCCGAGGGAGGAUGGACCGUUCCGAGGGACGGCCUCGCACUCCCGGGGCGUCUCGCUCUCAUCGCGAGAAGAGGCGCACCCAGAGCGUACACGCUGGGACCCGAAAGAUGGUGAACUAUGCCUGGUCAGGACGAAGUCAGGGGAAACCCUGAUGGAGGUCCGUAGCGAUUCUGACGUGCAAAUCGAUCGUCGGAACUGGGUAUAGGGGCGAAAGACUAAUCGAACCAUCUAGUAGCUGGUUCCCUCCGAAGUUUCCCUCAGGAUAGCUGGCGCUCGCUUCUCGCGAGUCUCAUUCGGUAAAGCGAAUGAUUAGAGGCAUUGGGGUCGAAACGGCCUCAACCUAUUCUCAAACUUUAAAUGGGUGAGAUCUCCGGCUUGCUUGAACUGUGAAGCCGCGAGAUAUCGGAUCAGAGUGCCAAGUGGGCCACUUUUGGUAAGCAGAACUGGCGCUGUGGGAUGAACCAAACGCUGAGUUAAAGCGCCUAAAUCGACGCUUAUGGGAUACCAUGAAAGGCGUUGGUAACUUAAGACAGCAGGACGGUGGCCAUGGAAGUCGGA
RNAcentral lists this ribosomal RNA (645 nucleotides) under Maladera sp. 834652. RNAcentral's name for it is "eukaryotic LSU rRNA". It matches the Rfam family "Eukaryotic large subunit ribosomal RNA", at positions 663 to 1265 of the family's 3401-position model. Lineage: Eukaryota; Metazoa; Arthropoda; Insecta; Coleoptera; Scarabaeidae. The record is from RNAcentral.